AUAUUUAUAAAUAAAUUAAUAAUAUAUAAUAUCUCUCAGAUCUCUAUAAGCAACCUAUUGAUUUUUAUAAUAUAUAAAAAAAAUUAAAUUAAGAAAAACCAUCGUUUUUUUUUUACUAUAAAUUGACCCAUCAAACCCCUGAAGAUUUCAGUUUGUGUUGAAUCUUUCUCUCUCUUCUGUCUCACUGAAAGAUACCCGAAAGCCACCUCCUCUUCUCUCAUUCAUAAGGUUGAAGAGAAAUGGCACGCAAGAAGAUCAGAGAGUAUGAUUCCAAGAGGUUGUUGAAGGAGCACUACAAGAGGCUCGCCGGCACCGAAUUGGGCAUGAAAUCUG
This is a non-coding RNA of Camellia sinensis, 333 nucleotides long. The record is from RefSeq and is a predicted model, not a curated record. Lineage: Eukaryota; Viridiplantae; Streptophyta; Magnoliopsida; Ericales; Theaceae.